UGGCUUAUUUCGGACUUUGUUUUACAAUGUCCGGAUGUUUACUUUGAGAAAAUUAGAGUGCUCAAAGCAGGCUUUCGCCUUGAAUAGUUUAGCAUGGAAUAAUAAAGUAGGACUUUGGUUCUAUUUUGUUGGUUUUAGGUACCAAAGUAAUGGUUAAUAGGAACAGUUGGGGGCAUUCGUAUUUAACUGUCAUAGGUGAAAUUCU
This 205-nucleotide ribosomal RNA is filed under the name Theileria ovis. RNAcentral describes it as "partial 18S ribosomal RNA". The stretch from base 31 to 205 matches the Rfam family "Eukaryotic small subunit ribosomal RNA", at positions 744 to 920 of the family's 1831-position model. The record is from RNAcentral. Lineage: Eukaryota; Apicomplexa; Aconoidasida; Piroplasmida; Theileriidae.